UUGUAUUUAUGAAAAACCUCGGAUAUUUGGGGAGGACUCGUCGUCAGAUGAUAAUUCUAGUGAUAGUGAUGACAAUGCUUACGAGAAGAAAACGAAAAAAGAGCGAGCGCAGAAGAAACGAUCGAAACAACAUGAUUGUAAUGAUCACGAUCACAGCCAGCAUUCUUCUGAUCUGCCAGGACCACCCACAUGACACAAUAGUCUCAUCCUUUUAACUUUUAUACAUAUAUAUUUAUUUUAAAUAAUUUGCUCAAAGCAAGGCCAUAUUAUAGUUUGAAUUCAUCGCUCAUAAACACUGAUUGGCACUCCAGAAGUGUGUGUACUAAUAUGGGGGUAACUAAUAUUGUUCCUAACCUAACUUUACAUCAAGUUGUGCAAAAGGACUGAAACCUAUGGGCAUGGGGUAUAUUCACUUGGCUAACACAGACAGUCCCCGAACUCGUAAUAGAACUAAAAUAAGGAAAAUCAAAAUUAUAGCCUAACCCUAACCUGGUACUUAUACUACGGGAGUACUCACUGGUUGAGGCAAGACAUGGGCAGUUCAUGUCAUUACGAUCAGUUCAAAAAGCUGUGAGAAAAUGUUUUUACGUACAAAUAUUUCAAAUUUUUUGGUUUAAGCGCAGAUUGCACAUUUCUAGUUUGAAUCUUGUUCCACUUCACCCAGGUAUUGAUUUGCACAUGAGAGAAUUUCUUACGUUUACCGUUUUUCCAAAUAAGAAGUUGUUCCAACCAUAUCAUUAGAUGCCGGUGGCCGCUUGUAAAAAUAGGGCGAUAGCAUUAUAACCAGGCACGAGAGUUGGUACUGCCGAAGUAUGUGAACCAAGAUGACGGACACCAGAACGUAGUAUGUGUACCAAGUUAGGGUUAGGCCAUAAUCUCAGGCACAAAUACUACGGAGUCAUUUGGCUAGUCCCCAAAGGAAUAUGGAAAAUUGGAAUAAAAUUAUGGCCUAAACUGGUACGUUCUGGUGUCCGCCACCUUGGUUCACAUACUUCAGUACCUGAGUUUUCACUGGAGCCGUAGUCUCAUUUAUUAACUCCUCAAGUCUACAAUUUAUAUUUUUAUGUAUUCAUAAUAACGACCCCAUAGGUGUUCGAAAAUCAUAAUACAAACCGUCUUAAGGGACUUUAGGGUUGAAAAAGUCUACACAGUGAAAAAUCUAUAAGCCCCAUAUUCUAACAGAUGACCUGUGGAUACAUCUUUUUUAUUUUCUGAUUGUUAAUUGUAAAACAUUCACCGUACUUACUGAUUUAAUACUUGUAUUUUAUAUUAAACUUGAGUUUCAAAA
Non-coding RNA from Styela clava, 1288 nucleotides. The record is from RefSeq and is a predicted model, not a curated record. NCBI's taxonomy places the organism in Eukaryota, Metazoa, Chordata, Ascidiacea, Stolidobranchia, Styelidae.